AUCCUUUUGUAGUUUGCAAGCAUGAUGAUUAGGUUUUCAUGCACAUGUGUGAGGUGUGCCUCCCUCUAACCUUGUGACGGUGGGUGGCACUUACCCGUCUGAUA
This is a small nucleolar RNA of Lemur catta (Ring-tailed lemur), 104 nucleotides long. RefSeq annotates it as small nucleolar RNA U13. The record is from RefSeq and is a predicted model, not a curated record. NCBI's taxonomy places the organism in Eukaryota, Metazoa, Chordata, Mammalia, Primates, Lemuridae. The transcript has a single exon.